Molecule: ribosomal RNA, 253 nt
Filed under: uncultured bacterium
Lineage: Bacteria
Description: partial 16S ribosomal RNA
Rfam family: Bacterial small subunit ribosomal RNA
Source: RNAcentral
UACGUAGGGACCAAGCGUUGUUCGGAUUUACUGGGCGUAAAGGGCGCGUAGGCGGCGCGGUAAGUCACUUGUGAAAUCUCUGAGCUUAACUCAGAACGGCCAAGUGAUACUGCAGUGCUAGAGUGUGGAAGGGGCAAUCGGAAUUCCUGGUGUAGCGGUGAAAUGCGCAGAUAUCAGGAAGAACACCCGUGGCGAAAGCGGCUCUCUGGAACGGUACUGACGCUGAGACGCGAAAGCGUGGGGAGCGAACAGG